UCCCUCAGCACACAGCAAAAGUGGUUGGAAGUAAGUUAACAGCACCGUCUGGAUUCAAGCAUGCUAUGAUUCCACCUUUCACUGUGUAUGCUGAGCUGGAAGCUGCCAAAGGUACAGGAUGCCCUCCAAGGAGAGGUAACCUGGCCUCAAAGAAGCCAGAGGCUAUCUGCUGCAAAUGCCUGACCUUUGACAGACAGGCCCUGACAUCAGGCCCUGGAGUGCUGGAGCACUAGCCUGCACAGCAGGCCCAGAGA
This is a long non-coding RNA of Arvicanthis niloticus (Nile rat), 254 nucleotides long. RefSeq lists it as uncharacterized. The record is from RefSeq and is a predicted model, not a curated record. NCBI's taxonomy places the organism in Eukaryota, Metazoa, Chordata, Mammalia, Rodentia, Muridae.